This 288-nucleotide unclassified non-coding RNA is filed under the name Hevea brasiliensis (rubber tree). Lineage: Eukaryota; Viridiplantae; Streptophyta; Magnoliopsida; Malpighiales; Euphorbiaceae. The record is from RNAcentral.
AUGCGUAGACCUUGUGGUUGACUGGUGUGAGCACAUUUUAUGUUAAUACGAGGCUUCAUGUUCAUGUAUGAAAAUGACUUGACUUUUUAUUCCAAAACGUUUCAUCGAGUUAAAUGAAGAUUGGCAGUUGUGAACUUGUGAUAUUAAGUUGGAGAGGAGUAAUGAAUUUGUGGUUGAAUUUGCAACAACUAUCAGUCCUUGGGUUUUCUCAAAUGAUUCAGUUGAUUGUUUUGUGAUAGGUCUUCAAGUCAGUUAUUGUUGAUAAAAAAUUGGAAGAAUAAGAAGAGU